GGCUCGAUAGCUCAGUUGGUAGAGCAGCGGAUUGAAAAUCCGCGUGUCGGCGGUUCGAUCCCGUCUCGAGCCACCA
RNAcentral lists this transfer RNA (76 nucleotides) under Haloferula rosea. RNAcentral describes it as "tRNA-Phe". It matches the Rfam family "tRNA". Rfam says of the family: Transfer RNA (tRNA) molecules are approximately 80 nucleotides in length. Their secondary structure includes four short double-helical elements and three loops (D, anti-codon, and T loops). RNAcentral also lists the same sequence under 4 other names. Lineage: Bacteria; Pseudomonadati; Verrucomicrobiota; Verrucomicrobiia; Verrucomicrobiales; Verrucomicrobiaceae. The record is from RNAcentral.